Molecule: long non-coding RNA, 1478 nt
Organism: Zingiber officinale
Lineage: Eukaryota; Viridiplantae; Streptophyta; Magnoliopsida; Zingiberales; Zingiberaceae
Exons: 2
Source: RefSeq, a predicted model, not a curated record
GUGUGUUCUCAUAUUUGCCACCUCUCUCUUUCUCUUUGGUUGCUUUCAUUUCUUUAUUUAUUUUAUCCUCUCACUUUCUCUCUACAGUUCUCAGAUGAUCAUGGCCUCUGCCUAUAUCUCCCGUGGGCUUCCACCUUUCCACUCACAGACCUAUCUCCUCUCUUUUACUUCUCCUGAAGCCACCAGGUUCAGCAUCAUGCUGCAUGACUCCCUUCUUUGUGAUCUUUGAAAAAGUAGGGCAGCAUGCUGAUUCUUUGAUAUGGCUUGAGGAAGUAGGAAGGAGGAAUUAGGGUUUGGACUUGGCAACUGUUUCUUCAGCACAUCCCAAGGGAAGUGAAGAAUCCUGCUAGGGUUCUCAUUCUACUGUUUGAAGAACACUUUCUCUAGAUUCUCUCUCUCUCUCUUUUUCUCUCCACAACAAAGUACUACUAUAUAUCCUUUAGAUCAAGAGAAAAUCACUUAUUGUUUGAGCACAAGAUCUUUGAAGUUGGACAUGCAAGGAAAAUUUCCGUUUCUUUGCCACUUAAUACCCUAAAACGAGUUCUAGUCCUACAAAAUGCAAUAGUGCAAGUCUUCUCUUAAAGUCUUGCUUUGAUCAUUAUAUUUAAUUAUCUAAGUACAAGUUGCUUAUUUCAACUAAUGGACUUAAUUAGUGUUACAAAAUUCAUGGAAAAAAAGAGAAAUUAAGAGAAAAGAUUGAAGAAAAGUGUUUGAAAGAGCUUCCUUCAGUCCACUCACCGGAUGACUGUGGGUUUGAAUCAGCUGCCGACUCAUUCAUUCAAACACAAUGGUAGACCUUGAGCUACUAUGUGAACGAGUGAAUGAUGCGGGAGACUAUUCUCUCCCAACCAUUCCAUGCUUGGACUGAAGGGAGCUCCUUCUUCCCUAGCUUUCAAAUUCUAAAUUUCCCCCACACGUCUUGUGACUGUACAUCUACAAGGACCAACAAACUCACCGGGGUUCUCAAUUGCUCGGGACUUGAGCAAGAACACGGAGGUCUUUGUUUGCCUCAUGCAGUUGCUUUCUAGAAAUAUGUAACCAAUGAAUACAACUCCACGUACGUAGGUGGACAUGGGAGGCCACUCGUCUUUGGCUCUGCGUCAGAGUGCAUUGAUGGAGAAAGGUGGCGGUGGGGGAAGGCUGAUUCACAUAAUAUCACAUCGCAUCAGUCUUUAAAGUAUGAGGCCUGUUGUUUACUGCACUCGUGCAGUGUUUCAAAGGCAUGGAAAAAUGGAUAAAAGUGGUGGAUCUGAUGAAAAGGUUUUCAGAACGCUCCUCUCGUGCAUCGACAGUGGAAGAAGUACAGCCGAUGCGCAGGCGAAGGAAGUAGCCAAGUAGGAGGGCUGUUGCUUGGGAGUCGAGCAACGAGACGAGCGCCUCGAAAGGUGGAGAAACAUGCCGCAUUGGGGUUGCCGCUGCUGCCAGCCUUCAUGUAUGUGUUUUACACCGUCAUCAAACCACAAUUUUUUUUUUAUUAU